RNAcentral lists this RNase P RNA (384 nucleotides) under Candidatus Aminicenantota bacterium. RNAcentral's name for it is "Candidatus Aminicenantes bacterium (hot springs metagenome) RNase P RNA component class A". It matches the Rfam family "Bacterial RNase P class A". Rfam says of the family: Ribonuclease P (RNase P) is a ubiquitous endoribonuclease, found in archaea, bacteria and eukarya as well as chloroplasts and mitochondria. The record is from RNAcentral. Lineage: Bacteria; Candidatus Aminicenantota.
UGGAGCAGACGAGGCGGUUGCUCCUUCUGGCCCAUCGGGUUCAGGAGGGGAGGAAAGUCCGAACUCCACAGGGCAGGAUGGUCGCUAACAGCGACUCCGGGCGACCGGAGGAAAGUGCCACAGAGAACAGACCGCCGAAGGGGAAGCGCAAGCUUUCCUCAGGCAAGGGUGAAACGGUGAGGUAAGAGCUCACCGCCCUGAUGGUGACAUCAGGGGCACGGCAAACCCCAUCCGGAGCAAGACCAAAGAUGCCCCCGAAGAGGUGGCCCGCCUCAUGGGGGCGGGUAGGUCGCCAAACCUUCUGAGCAAUCAGAAGGUCAGACAAAUAACCGCCCUCGCCUUAACAGGCGAGAACAGAAUUCGGCUUACGUUCUGCUCCAACCU